ACCUGCUGAAUGCGCUCGUUGACCAACUGCCGGGCGAAAUAGAUGUCGGUGCCGUCCUUGAAGACAACGGUCACCUGGCUCAAACCGUAACGCGACAGCGAUCGGGUGUUUUGAAGGUUCGGCAGCCCGCCCAUGCNAAGGUUAUGCGCUGCUCGACCUCAAGCGGUGAAUAGCCAGGAGCGCGGGUAUUGAUCUGAACCUGCACAUUGGUGAUGUCGGGAACGGCGUCGAUCGGCAGCCGUGUAAAAUUCCAGGC
RNAcentral lists this unclassified non-coding RNA (256 nucleotides) under Hevea brasiliensis (rubber tree). The record is from RNAcentral. Lineage: Eukaryota; Viridiplantae; Streptophyta; Magnoliopsida; Malpighiales; Euphorbiaceae.